GCUUCGGUGACCUAGUGGUUAGAGCGUCCGCCUCGAAAGCAGGAGGUCGCAGGUUCGAACCCCAGCCGAGUCA
Molecule: non-coding RNA, 73 nt
Organism: Potamilus streckersoni
Lineage: Eukaryota; Metazoa; Mollusca; Bivalvia; Unionida; Unionidae
Source: the annotation of a GenBank genome assembly